CCUACGGGCGGCUGCAGUGGGGAAUCUUGCACAAUGGAGGAAACUCUGAUGCAGCGACGCCGCGUGAGUGAUGAAGCCCUUCGGGGUGUAAAGCUCUUUCGACAGGAACGAUAAUGACGGUACCUGAAGAAGAAGCUGAGGCUAACUACGUGCCAGCAGCCGCGGUAAUACGUAGGCAGCAAGCGUUGUUCGGAAUUACUGGGCGUAAAGAGUGUGUAGGCGGUGCUCUAAGUUUGGUGUGAAAUCUCCCGGCUUAACCGGGAGGCUGCAUUGAAUACUGGAGUGCUAGAGGAUUGGAGAGGUAAGCGGAAUUCCUGGUGUAGCGGUGAAAUGCGUAGAUAUCAGGAGGAACACCUGUGGUGUAGACAGCUUACUGGACAAUUUCUGACGCUGAGACACGAAAGCGUGGGUAGCAAACAGGAUUAGAUACCCUGGUAGUC
Molecule: ribosomal RNA, 440 nt
Filed under: uncultured bacterium
Lineage: Bacteria
Description: partial 16S ribosomal RNA
Rfam family: Bacterial small subunit ribosomal RNA
Source: RNAcentral